This is a long non-coding RNA of Lemur catta (Ring-tailed lemur), 611 nucleotides long. RefSeq lists it as uncharacterized. The transcript has 4 exons. The record is from RefSeq and is a predicted model, not a curated record. Lineage: Eukaryota; Metazoa; Chordata; Mammalia; Primates; Lemuridae.
GCAACUCCUGCCCGCUCACGCAGGGGCCCUCUCCUGCCCGGGGCCCCAGUCCCCAGCCGCCGGGGGCCAGGGUGCGCGGCCGCGGGGGUUCCUCGGGGCUCCCUGGCGGACCCGAGCAGCCCUGGGGCGGGGUGGCUGGGCCCAGGCCGUGCCGGGAGAGGCCAGCCUCCAGCUUCUGCUCCAGCUCCUGCAGCUCGGCCUCCUGCCUCCGCGGCGUCUCGUCCUGCAGUUGCUGCUGGAGCUGGUGAUGGAGUCUUUGGCACGGACCAAUCCACUGUUGACUCCACUCUGGGGAAGAAUGAGAGACAGUGGCUGUGUGACUGCAGACCAGGGGCUGCACCUCUUUGCUUCUUAGUGUUCCUGCUCAGUGAACUCAGGGGGUGGACUACACUUCUUCAUGGAGGGCUGAGAGGAAAAUUAAAGGAAGAUGCCCAAAGAACCCUCUUGCAGCUGGUUAUAGCCAUGUGACCAAUGCCAGCCAAUAGGAGGUAAGUUGGCCAGAUGUGGGCACUGAGUGACAUGUUGAAAGAACAGGCAUGAUUCCUCCUCUUCUUUCCCCUUUCUUUUUCUUCCUUUCUUUUCUUUUCUUUCUUUCUUUCUUUCUUUUUUUU